AGGAGAGAAUCUCCUCCAGGAAUUUAUGACCUGCCUAACAGAGCCUGGUGUCGGGAGUAUAGAGAGAGAGGGGAUGGUGCUUGCUGUACCCAAAGAGUGAUUUUAAAGUUAGAUACUGGAUGUAUUCAGUCGGGAACAAAGGCAUGUUAGCGUUAGCUAACGUUAGCUAAACCAUUUCUGCCUCAAUGGGUAACUAGCAGUAGCUAGUUAGCUAUUAGCUCACAUUAAAUUGCACAAGAGGUCACCGAAUUGACCAGUCAACAGAAGCUAGCUAACGGGUGACUUUUAACACAGAUCAGUGAAGAGGAAGUAGGACUUGGACAAUUUGGACGACACGUCGCUACAUAUAUCAGUAAAGUCUUGUUGCGCACCCUGACACGGGAUGAUAGAAGGGAUAUUUUUCCAGGACCAGAGCACAUUCUGAGGAGAAGCAGUAUCUUGCAAACAAUCCAUCCUGAGAAGUCCAUGGAGCUCGUUGUUGCACGUCAUGGAGCAGAGGGCAAACAUCCACUCAGAGACACCCCAGGCAGUGGCUGAGACGACAGGGUGAGAACACAAAACCACAGGGCGUCGGUCUGGACCCGGAGGAACAUGAGGGGGAAUACAUUGAGAGGAUUGGAGAGGACCUGAGCCCUAGGACCAUGCCUCAGGUCUACCCGGCCUGAUGACUACUUGCGGUCCCCAGUCCACCUGGCCCUGCUGCUGCUCCAGUUUAAACUGUUCUGCCUGCGGCUAUGGAACCAUGACCUGUUCACCGGACGUGCUACUUGUCCCAGACCUGAUGUUUUCAACUCUCAAGAGACAGCAGGAGCGGUAGAGAUACUCUGAAUGAUCGGCUAUGAAAAGCCAGCUGACAUUUACUCCUGAGGUGCUGACCUGUUGCACCAUUGACAACCACUGUGAUUAUUAUUAUUUGACCCUGCUGGUCAUCUAUGAACAUUUGAGCAUAUUGGCCAUGUUCUGUAAUAAUCUCCACCCGGCACAGCCAGAAGAGGACUGGCCACCCCUCAUAGCCUGGUUCCUCUCUAGGUUUCUUCCUAGGUUCUGGCCUUCCUGAGGAGUUUCUCCUAGCCACUGUGCUUCUACACCUGCAUUGCUUGCUGUUUGGGGUUUUAGGCUGGGUUUCUGUACAGCACUUUGAGAUAUCAGCUGAUGUAAGAAGGGC
Oncorhynchus tshawytscha (Chinook salmon) is the source of this 1165-nucleotide long non-coding RNA. NCBI's taxonomy places the organism in Eukaryota, Metazoa, Chordata, Actinopteri, Salmoniformes, Salmonidae. The record is from Ensembl.